UGAAGUCUGUGGUGAUGCAGAGCCAGGAGAGGAAGAUUUGGAAGAGGAAGAAGUGGAGUUUGUGGAUGUAUCACUGAUUCUAAAUGAGGAUGACGGCUCAGAAUUUGAGCUCUCAAAUCACCUAUGUGUGCUUGUCAUCUGCUCAACUUGGUCUCUGCAGUUGAUGCUGCAAAAGCAACUGUCAACGAUACAGACAUAAAAGUGUAUCGUUCAACAUUCAGCAAGUGUCAUGCACUGUGGGAAAAUGAAAAUGUGGGAAAUCUACUAUAGCAGCUGAAGCUGUGGAAGACUCCUUCUCCAUUCAGCUGCUACGGCCAAAUGCCACCCAGUGGAACUCAUUGUUCAUGAUUGUGGAAAGGCUGCUCAGGACAAUGAAAGACAAGGGAGAGGCGGCCAUGAGAGCUGUCUGCACAGACCUAAAGACAAACAUGUAUUGGGUGGUCAGAGGUUUUCAGAGGUCAUUGACAAAACCAUGGAUGAGGAAAAGCCUAUCCUGGAGGUGGUGAGCCAUUGAGGUGAGACCUAGGGAGUCAGCCAAGAAACUCAAGCAAGUGCAGGAUGAGAAAGAAGACAAGAGAAGGAGGUUUCUCUAAACAGGGUGUUGUGUUCAUGAAGUGAAGGAAUUGUGCUGCCAAGGGCCUGGGACCAGCCCAUGCAUCAACGAAGAGAGAGCUAAGUCUAAACCAUGGCUCCAGCCCACCUAUUUGACCAAUGGAAGUUAUUCACCUUAUCUAUCUGUUUAAACCAAUGAGAAAUUAUACAUAU
This is a long non-coding RNA of Acanthopagrus latus (yellowfin seabream), 765 nucleotides long. RefSeq lists it as uncharacterized. NCBI's taxonomy places the organism in Eukaryota, Metazoa, Chordata, Actinopteri, Spariformes, Sparidae. The transcript is spliced from 3 exons. The record is from RefSeq and is a predicted model, not a curated record.